RNAcentral lists this ribosomal RNA (490 nucleotides) under uncultured bacterium. Its description in RNAcentral is "partial 16S ribosomal RNA". It matches the Rfam family "Bacterial small subunit ribosomal RNA", at positions 28 to 507 of the family's 1533-position model. The record is from RNAcentral.
GAUGAACGCUAGCUACAGGCUUAACACAUGCAAGUCGAGGGGAAACGAUGAGAGAGCUUGCUCUCUUAGGCGUCGACCGGCGCACGGGUGAGUAACGCGUAUCCAACCUACCCAUUACAGGGGGAUAACCUUGCGAAAGUAAGACUAAUACCCCAUGGCAUUUUGUGGUGGCAUCAUUAUAGGUUGAAAGAUUUAUUGGUAAUGGAUGGGGAUGCGUCUGAUUAGCUUGUUGGCGGGGUAACGGCCCACCAAGGCAACGAACAGUAGGGGUUCUGAGAGGAAGCUCCCCCAGAUUGGAACCGCGACACGGUCCACACUGGUACGGGAGGCAGCAGUGAGGAAUAUUGGUCAAUGAGCGAGAGCUUGAACCAGCCAAGUAGCGUGCAGGAUGACGGCCCUAUGGGUUGUAAUCUGCUUUUAAAGAGGAAUAAAGUGAGAUACGUGUAGUGUAUUGAAUGUACCCAAUGAAUAAGGACCGGCUAAUUCCGUG